GAAAAGCACAUAUUUGAAAUGCAUCACAGAAUUGAGCAAGAGAUAAGAUUUCUUGUUUAAUUUUUUCCUUAGUUUUACCUGUAGAUUUUUGAGAACUCAAAGGUGAAAUGGAGAUUAAGCAGCAUAAGAAAUCAGUAACAAUGAUUGAAAACACCCAAAAGCCCCAUGUAUGAAAAUUAAAGAGCUUUUAACAAGAUGUACAAAUUCAGGGUUUUUAACCCCUUUAUUAUGAGUGAAUAAUCUUGCCUUUCCAUAUUUCCUCUUCAGUUAAUUCCCUCACUUCAUUUUCAUACAAUGCAAGUUUAUCAAGUAUGAACAGUUGAACAGUAAAUUGAAAACAACCAACUGUAUGUCUGUAUCAGAAGUACAAAAUUUGGAAAGACAAACUGAUCUUAUUAGGAAACCUAAGUUCAUUACAGCCACUAGAAUGUUAAUAUUUACUUCUCAAUGAGUAAAUGAAAUGC
Molecule: unclassified non-coding RNA, 464 nt
Filed under: Hevea brasiliensis (rubber tree)
Lineage: Eukaryota; Viridiplantae; Streptophyta; Magnoliopsida; Malpighiales; Euphorbiaceae
Source: RNAcentral